CCUACGGGGAGCAGCAGUGAGGAAUAUUGGUCAAUGGACGAGAGUCUGAACCAGCCAAGUAGCGUGAAGGAUGACUGCCCUAUGGGUUGUAAACUUCUUUUAUAUGGGAAUAAAAUGUUCCACGUGUGGGAUUUUGUAUGUACCAUAUGAAUAAGGAUCGGCUAACUCCGUUCCAGCAGCCGCGUUAAUACGGAGGAUCCGAGCGUUAUCCGGAUUUCUUGGGUUUAAAGGGAGCGUAGGUGGAUUGUUAAGGCAGUUGUGAAAGUUUGCGGCUCAACCGUAAAAUUGCAGUUGAAACUGGCAGUCUUGAGUAGAGGAGAGGUGGGCGGAAUGCGUGGUGUAGCGGUGAAAUGCUUAGAUAUCACGAAGAACUCCGAUUGCGAAGGCAGUUCACUGGACUGCAACUGACACUGAGGCACGAAAGUGUGGGUAUCAAACAGGAUUAGAUACCCUGGUAGUC
RNAcentral lists this ribosomal RNA (460 nucleotides) under uncultured bacterium. Its description in RNAcentral is "partial 16S ribosomal RNA". It matches the Rfam family "Bacterial small subunit ribosomal RNA", at positions 338 to 795 of the family's 1533-position model. The record is from RNAcentral.